Molecule: long non-coding RNA, 438 nt
Filed under: Lathyrus oleraceus (garden pea)
Lineage: Eukaryota; Viridiplantae; Streptophyta; Magnoliopsida; Fabales; Fabaceae
Description: Pisum sativum (pea) long non-coding RNA (PSAT_LNC013266)
Source: RNAcentral
AGAAGGUGAAGGAAGCCAAUAGUGAGGAAUAAGGUGAAUUAGAAAGAGUCAAAGUAUAAGUUCCCUGGGACAGAAGAUGAGCUCGUGGGUUUGAGUUUUUUUUAAUAAAGUAUUUUUUUUAAAUACUAUGAUGAGUGUUUGGAGUAUAUAUGGGAGUUCAAUGAGUUUUUAUUUUUUAUUUUGAUAGAAAUAUUAUGACAGCGCUUUUUAAAAAAUGCUAAUAAAGGAAUAUCCCUAUAUUAGUGUUUGCCCAAAGAGCGCUCCUAAUUCCUUUCAUCUUUUUUCUUUCUUUUUUUGUUAAGCAAAAUAUACUAGCGUUUUUAAGAGAAGUGCUUUUAUAGCUAUUACCUUAUAAUAGUGCCCGAAUUGAAACCACUAUUAUAAGCAUAUGUGAAAGAAUUUUAAUAGUACUUUAUUAAAAAGCGCUAUUAAUUUGAC